Non-coding RNA from Salmo salar (Atlantic salmon), 54 nucleotides. The record is from Rfam. Lineage: Eukaryota; Metazoa; Chordata; Actinopteri; Salmoniformes; Salmonidae.
UGUACUCACUACUGUAAGUUGCUCUGGUUAAGAGCAUCUGCUAAAUGUUUUUCA